This 52-nucleotide transfer RNA is filed under the name Amphitetranychus viennensis (hawthorn spider mite). RNAcentral's name for it is "tRNA-Glu". The record is from RNAcentral. Lineage: Eukaryota; Metazoa; Arthropoda; Arachnida; Trombidiformes; Tetranychidae.
AUUCUGUUAAAAGAAAUUUUCAUUUUCUUUAAAAAGUCAAAUUUACAGAAUU